This is a non-coding RNA of Paramuricea clavata, 245 nucleotides long. The record is from the annotation of a GenBank genome assembly. NCBI's taxonomy places the organism in Eukaryota, Metazoa, Cnidaria, Anthozoa, Malacalcyonacea, Plexauridae.
GGUAGCGAGAGUAGCGACGGUAGCGACGGUAGCGACGGUAGCGAGAGUAGCGACGGUAGCGAGAGUAGCGAGGGUAGCGACGGUAGCGAGAGUAGCGACGGUAGCGAGAGUAGCGAGGGUAGCGACGGUAGCGACGGUAGCGAAGGUAGCGAGAGUAGCGAGGGUAGCGAGGGUAGCGAGGGUAGCGGAGGUAGCGAGAGUAGCGACGGUAGCGAGAAUAGAGAGUUUUAGCAAGGAGUACGAGU